GAUGAGCGCUGGCGGCGUGCCUAAUACAUGCAAGUCGAGCGAACGGACGAGAAGCUUGCUUCUCUGAUGUUAGCGGCGGACGGGUGAGUAACACGUGGAUAACCUACCUAUAAGACUGGGAUAACUUCGGGAAACCGGAGCUAAUACCGGAUAAUAUUUUGAACCGCAUGGUUCAAAAGUGAAAGACGGUCUUGCUGUCACUUAUAGAUGGAUCCGCGCUGCAUUAGCUAGUUGGUAAGGUAACGGCUUACCAAGGCAACGAUGCAUAGCCGACCUGAGAGGGUGAUCGGCCACACUGGAACUGAGACACGGUCCAGACUCCUACGGGAGGCAGCAGUAGGGAAUCUUCCGCAAUGGGCGAAAGCCUGACGGAGCAACGCCGCGUGAGUGAUGAAGGUCUUCGGAUCGUAAAACUCUGUUAUUAGGGAAGAACAUAUGUGUAAGUAACUGUGCACAUCUUGACGGUACCUAAUCAGAAAGCCACGGCUAACUACGUGCCAGCAGCCGCGGUAAUACGUAGGUGGCAAGCGUUAUCCGGAAUUAUUGGGCGUAAAGCGCGCGUAGGCGGUUUUUUAGUCUGAUGUGAAAGCCCACGGCUCAACCGUGGAGGGUCAUUGGAAACUGGAAAACUUGAGUGCAGAAGAGGAAAGUGGAAUUCCAUGUGUAGCGGUGAAAUGCGCAGAGAUAUGGAGGAACACCAGUGGCGAAGGCGACUUUCUGGUCUGUAACUGACGCUGAUGUGCGAAAGCGUGGGGAUCAAACAGGAUUAGAUACCCUGGUAGUCCACGCCGUAAACGAUGAGUGCUAAGUGUUAGGGGGUUUCCGCCCCUUAGUGCUGCAGCUAACGCAUUAAGCACUCCGCCUGGGGAGUACGACCGCAAGGUUGAAACUCAAAGGAAUUGACGGGGACCUGCACAAGCGGUGGAGCAUGUGGUUUAAUUCGAAGCAACGCGAAGAACCUUACCAAAUCUUGACAUCCUUUGACAACUCUAGAGAUAGAGCCUUCCCCUUCGGGGGACAAAGUGACAGGUGGUGCAUGGUUGUCGUCAGCUCGUGUCGUGAGAUGUUGGGUUAAGUCCCGCAACGAGCGCAACCCUUAAGCUUAGUUGCCAUCAUUAAGUUGGGCACUCUAAGUUGACUGCCGGUGACAAACCGGAGGAAGGUGGGGAUGACGUCAAAUCAUCAUGCCCCUUAUGAUUUGGGCUACACACGUGCUACAAUGGACAAUACAAAGGGCAGCGAAACCGCGAGGUCAAGCAAAUCCCAUAAAGUUGUUCUCAGUUCGGAUUGUAGUCUGCAACUCGACUACAUGAAGCUGGAAUCGCUAGUAAUCGUAGAUCAGCAUGCUACGGUGAAUACGUUCCCGGGUCU
RNAcentral lists this ribosomal RNA (1371 nucleotides) under uncultured bacterium. RNAcentral describes it as "bacterial SSU rRNA". It matches the Rfam family "Bacterial small subunit ribosomal RNA", at positions 28 to 1381 of the family's 1533-position model. The record is from RNAcentral.